Molecule: RNA transcript, 2389 nt
Organism: Thamnophis elegans (Western terrestrial garter snake)
Lineage: Eukaryota; Metazoa; Chordata; Lepidosauria; Squamata; Natricidae
Gene: ALKBH1
Gene name: alkB homolog 1, histone H2A dioxygenase
Exons: 7
Source: RefSeq, a predicted model, not a curated record
GCCAGGCCACGCCUUCAGCGAAGAUGGCGGCGGCCACGCGGGAAGAAGAUGCGUUCCGUCGCCUCUUUCGUUUCUAUCGGCGGUGGGAGGGGUCGGAUCCUAGCGGGGUGAUUGACUUCUCGAAGCCAGCGGGCCAGCAGGUGGUCACCUAUCCUCUGAAGUUAACCUCAGUAAGUGAUCAAGAUGCCUAUAGAGCAGGAUUACAUCCAGUUACCCAAUGGAAAGCUUAUGGUCUACAUAAUUAUCCAGGAUUCAUAUAUAUUAAUAAUCCCUUUCUUCCGGGCUCUCAGUGCCAUUGGGUGAAGCAAUGUCUAAAGAAAUAUAUCCAGAAACCUAAUGUGUGCAAUUUGGAUAUGCACAUGUCUUCUGAAGAAAUUGCUGAUAUCUGGGGAAAGAGUAAAUUUCAGCUUCGAAACAAAAGUGCCAGUAAAUCACAGCCAAAAAGCUUAUUGGAAAAGUUGCGCUGGGUAACUCUAGGUUACCACUAUAACUGGAAUACAAAGAAAUAUUCAGCAGAAAACUAUACCCCUUUCCCAUCUGAUCUGGCUUUCCUGUCAAAGCAAGUGGCUAAAGCUUGUGGAUUUCCCAGCUUCCAAGCAGAAGCAGGGAUCCUGAACUAUUAUCACUUUGAUUCAUCUUUAGGAAUUCAUGUGGAUGAAUCUGAACUGGACCUUACUCCGCCUCUUUUAUCGUUCAGUUUUGGACAGUCAUCCAUAUUUCUGCUGGGAGGAUUGAAACGAGAUGAAACCCCUGCGGCCCUGUUCACACAUAGCGGAGACAUUAUGAUAAUGUCUGGUUUCAGCCGCCUACUGUAUCACGCAGUUCCCAAGAUCCUUCCCAAUCUAGAAGGAAAGCCUUUGCCUUCUUCCUUAGAGCUACCGCUCUCUGCUGAAUUUCCUGCAGACUCUGUGAUUGAGCUCUGUUCCGAUGAAGAUUGGAAAACGUGUGCCAGAUAUUUGGAAGCAUCCCGUAUUAAUAUGACUGUGAGACAGGUACUAGCUGAAGGUCAGAGCUUCUUGACUGAAACUAGGACAGAGAGCAAACAAAAUGCCUUCUCCACAGACUAUCAUGGAAAAUAUACAGAAACCAUAACACACAAGCCUAUUAUCAACAAAUGAACCCAUCUUUUUUUCAUCAUGACUUCAGAGACAUAAAAAGCCAACACACAGCAGAAGAAAUGGGAUAUGCCAUUGAAAGAAAAUUGAUUAACUGUGAAAAUAAGUAUCUAUAUGAACUUCACAGUCAAAGUGUAUAGCUCAGGAAAGGCGAAGUUAGCACCACAACUACCCCUCAACCAGUCCCGAGAACCAGCUCGCUUUAAACGCUUCUCCAGAUGGAAACCUCUUGUGUUGGGCGUAGCAGUGAUCGUCCUCACCACCCAGUUUCUUCAGAUCCUGAAAACCCUAUUAACAUCACCCCAGCCACCUUGCUGACCCAGAAGACAGAUGACUGGCCAGUACCAGCAGGGAACUUCGUUCCCAAAGACAUGUAUUGGAACUCAUGGUCUAUGAGACUUGGACACCAAGUGAUGAUGGACUAGUUCGCCAGAUUGAAGUUCAGGUCGCAAAGCCACUGGAGUCACAUCAUGACCAGCAGACUUUUGCCAAGAAGCUCUACACCAGACAAAUCACCAAUUUGCCUUCUGGGGUUGUGGGUGAUCUAUCACUGGAAGUUUGUAAGAAAAGACUGGACAACCAUUUGUCAGGGAUGGGAUAAGAACUUCUGCCUUGGGCAGGGGUUAGACUAGAAGAUCUCCAAGGUCCCUUCCAGGCCUAUGAUUCUACUAUCCAAUGACCUUGUCACUCAUAUGCACCUAAACAUAGAACAUGCUGUUUUUACAUCUUUUUUCUGCUGUCCUUAUGACAUUGCCUUUUAGCAAAUUAACAAAUAAAUAGUUUUAGUUAUGAUCAAAGACCAUCUGCUAGUUGCACACUAUAUAGUAGAAACCUUUAUCACUAAUAAAAUGAAGAAUAAGCUUAGCAAUCUUCUAGGCCCAAUCAGAAAUAGCUCUUAUUUGUUAUCUGCAAACAACAGAAGAUUAAAAAUAGCCCCAAAUAUAUAAAUGGUUUAAUUAUUUUACAUGGUUUCCUCUUUAUAUACCAUAAGCAAGGAUUCAGAAGCUCCUCCUUAGAAUUACUUGAGUUGUGCACAAGAUGGCUUCACAGACUGAAAUGGAUUAAAUGUUAAGUUUGGAAAAACCUGGAAGAAAUAAUUGAUGUAAACAUUGAAAAGGAGAAAGAGAACUCUUACUUAAUCCUUUAGGAUAAAAAAUGAGAUGUACAAUAUACAACACCUGAUUUUCACUGCAGUAUUUUCAUAUAACCGUGAAGCAGUAAUGGAUGGUCCAUAGAAGAACUUGCACAUUUUAGCCAGAGCAAAUCUUUAGGAA